This 497-nucleotide ribosomal RNA is filed under the name uncultured bacterium. RNAcentral's name for it is "partial 16S ribosomal RNA". It matches the Rfam family "Bacterial small subunit ribosomal RNA", at positions 31 to 507 of the family's 1533-position model. The record is from RNAcentral.
GAAGAACGCUGGAGGCGUGCCUAAUACAUGCAAGUUGAGCGAUGAAGAUUGGUGCUUGCACCAAUUUGAAGAGCAGCGAACGGGUGAGUAACGCGUGGGGAAUCUGCCUUUGAGCGGGGGACAACAUUUGGAAACGAAUGCUAAUACCGCAUAACAACUUUAAACAUAAGUUUUAAGUUUGAAAGAUGCAAUUGCAUCACUCAAAGAUGAUCCCGCGUUGUAUUAGCUAGUUGGUGAGGUAAAGGCUCACCAAGGCGAUGAUACAUAGCCGACCUGAGAGGGUGAUCGGCCACAUUGGGACUGAGACACGGCCCAAACUCCUACGGGAGGCAGCAGUAGGGAAUCUUCGGCAAUGGACGAAAGUCUGACCGAGCAACGCCGCGUGAGUGAAGAAGGUUUUCGGAUCGUAAAACUCUGUUGGUAGAGAAGAACGUUGGUGAGAGUGGAAAGCUCAUCAAGUGACGGUAACUACCCAGAAAGGGACGGCUAACUACGUG